CACAUACACAUACACACACACACAGUUUAUAUGAUGUCUAUCAGUAUAUGUUUAUGUCCACCUUAAAAAUAUUCACCCCACCGGGUGGGGACUGCACCUAAAUCUUGUAAAUCUCUUCUAAAGAGAUCUUCGUGGUGGCCUGACUGAUAAAGGGACUCUGGCUAAGAUGCUGUAGGCUUCAUACUGGAGCGUCUCCAUUAGAGCCUCAGCCCGGCUCCCACUUCCAGCUUCCUGCUCAUACACACCCCGGGUGGCAGCACCCACGUGGAAGACCUGGACUGAGUUCCCAACUCCAGACGACACUUGGCCCAGCCCUGGCUGCCGCAGGCACCUGGGGAGUGGACUGGCAUAGCUGGGCGAUUUUCAUCUCCAACUCUCGAAAAUCCUACCUAGGAAAACGAUCUUUCCUCAUGAGAGGGUGGGCCUGGUUCGCUCGCGCUGUACUGUACAAUUAUCUACGUCGUCAUGUUUUCAUUUGAAUUAGAAGUGAAUUAUUCAGUUGUGGGCUGGAGGAGGACGUUUUGGGCUCACUGAAUGAGCUGCUGGCAGGAAGGGUGACAGAGGCACGGCUGAGCGAGGGGCUGGUACUGCGAGAGACAGUUCCCCACCCAUCUGGCUCUGAGAAGAAAUCCGUACCCACAGAAACGCGGCGCUGGGAGUGCCCCAGCAGAGGCGGCCACGAGGCCGCGGGACCUCGCGUGAUGAACCAGCUGGAGCACAGGUCCGUGGCAGCGAGGGCCCUCGAGUGCUGACCGCCCCCGGGGAUGCCUGUGUCUCCUCGCGUGUUCCUGUCUCGACCAGGUCCGUAGCUGCGGUGCCUGAUGAAGCACAGGGACUCGAAGACCAGAAGUCCAAAGCCUCCUGUGGUUCACGGUGUUUUAUCUGAGAAGCUCUGGACGUGCAGAUGUUUGAGAACUGAACAACGUGGUUAUUUCAGUAAAACCAGCCGACGCCAUGGCCAUGUUGUGGUCCAUAGCUCUUGGCCUGCAGUGUGAACUACAGUCUCUUGGGGCUCCGCUUCCAGGCGCCCCAGUGCUGACACUCUGCACCUGGCCGUGUGCAGUGACUCUCCAGGGCAGUCAGCGACUUAGAUGGCGGAGGGAACACAGCAAGCGCCACACAGAGCCUUCUACCCGAAGAGGGUCCAGUCCCAGCAGGAGCCAUUUCCCUGCGAAGGCCUCCUGGAAGUCAUGCAGACGGCACAGUGGGUGCCCUGGUCCUCUGUGCCGUGUGCACACAUGGAAACUGGGUGUUGGUGGGGAGAAGACGGGUCCUGGGAAGCAUCUGUACCCAGCAUGACAGUUCCGGCAGGUCAGGGAGGGGCGGACGGCAUGUGGGCCAGCCUGAGUGCCCUGUGCGCCGCCGCCUCACCUGUCACAGCUGUGCUCCUCCAACCGCGCAUCCUGUGAGGUGCGGGGAGCAGAGGGUGUGGAAACCCGAGGGGCCCCUGCUGCUCACGAGAGGCUGUGAGCAGGCAGUCGGCGCACAGGUUGAGCACCGGUCUCCCCUGGCAGGCGGCCACUGCUGAGAUCCUCCUGGAGAGAAAUCAGACUCCCAACAGGAGUGGAAAAUCACUGGCAUCCAGAGCUUCUGGAAGUCGAUUCUCAUUUGUGUUGAUUCCUGGGCUCUGUUCUUCCUGUUGCUGGCCCCCUGCUUACUGAGUGUUCUCUCGUGCGCUGACAAGGCUGCAGCUGCUGGAGCUGAGUGCUGGGACCUGGACCUCACUCCAUCAUGCCAGCUGUGCCCCUUGGGGUGGGCACACGGUGUCCAGAGACACUCAGACCCUCUCUCUGGUCAGACACCAAGCCCUUUCUUCUUUAGGUCAUUAAUUUAAGGAAGCCAUAAGCUUGUGCCUCCCCCAGUUCUUAAUAAACCAUGAGAUGAUUUGAUAUAUACAGAAUCACGUUUUAGAAAAGUAACCUUGACUUUCAAGUUUUCCGAGUUGCCCACCAUGCGGCCGGCUCUCCUGCAAAGCUGUCUAGCUUCCAGUGAAUUCCUGCCCGCACUUCAGUGCUCCCGGCCAUCGUGGGGAUGGGUGAUGUCCUCGCCCACUCAGGACACGGUCCCAGGACCAUUCUGUUUCACACAGUGGAUCAGGGGGCUCCUACGUGAGCUCUGCCAGCACUCCUGCAAAGCCCCCCGAUGGGUGGAGAGCAGGUGGGACCGCCGUGCCAGGCUGUGGAGGCCCCAGUGUGGGUCACGUCCUGGUCACCAGCACCAGCACUAGCCAGGGUGUCCCGACUGCCUGUGCUUCUCGUUUGCGGUAUUGGGGACACCUGUGUGAAUCACCAACCUGCCUCCAAGACGCCUGGGUGUCCAGCACCGAUGACUGUUGAUGAAGCCAGGAUGUUAAAAGCAAAGGCUUAGAUUUUCUGUGGGUGCUUUGUCGUCUCUCCUUCUAACAAGGUCAGUCUCUUCGGGGAGGGAGAAGGGGAGGGGUACGGGAGGAGAGGCCUCCUCGUCCUAGAGGAGAGAGUGACGGGCACCAUGGAUGCUCCUUAUCCUGAGCUGGAUCCAGCUGAGCGGACGGUGGGCAGCAGACAGCACCCGAGAGCCCUGGACCCUGCCCGGGGCCCCUGGAUUCUCUGUGACAGCUCAGAGGCUGUGUCUAGACUGUGCAGAAGUUCAGGUCACCCCUUUACCCGGCGGCCCUACAGCUGCUCCCGGGAGUCACUGUGAAACACUUGGGAUCAGGCGCCAAAAACUCAGGGCCAUGAGUCAAUGAGGGGACACUGCUUCAGCAGCGUGUUCCAGACGCUGCAAUAACACGUAUGUGUUACAAUUUUCAUUCCAGAAUCCUCACCAUCACGGAGCACGGCUGAUGAAAAUCAGCGUCUGCCUUCAAAACACUGAAGUCUAAAAGCUCCCAAAACUUCAAAUUGCAGUUUGAUAGCCAGUUUAUUACAAUAAAAGGGUCAGUGAGGUGUCAAGGCUGCUGCUCUGGUUCCGCCUUUCCAGUUUGCUCGCUGAGUGAGAUUUUAAAAGCUUCUCGCCGUGGGGCUUCCAGCUGUCAUGGAGGCGGGGGCACUGCCCUGGAGUGCACUGCGUGACCGGUGUGCCGGGUGGCUCCCCGCUCCACACGCAGGAAUCGGCGCACAGUCCCGGGCUUCCUAGAGCGGUGUUAGAGAUGCACUUAGCGGGUAACCCGCGUCCCCACGAAUGAACAGGUAACACCCCGUGCGAAAGGUAAUGGUGCCCACAGCUCAGCCACCUACACUCUGUGUCCACGGGCUGAGAAGAGUUGUCCCAGGUGCACAGGGACAGCGGAGCCAAGGGGACAAAUGGAAGACCUGCGGUGUGCUUGAAGAGGAGAGAGACCCUCACCCCACGCUUUCCCAGGUACAAGUCCGAGCUGUCAGGAUGUGUAGUGUCUGUGGAGGCAUCACAUGCCAGAUAGGAUAAGGUUGACACACUCAGUGACACACUCACUCUCUCUGUGUGUCAGCGGCGGUGCGGAGAAGCUAGCUGAUGCUGCCCCGGCCCUGGCACUAGGCCGCAGCAGUGUUGGCCUGCCACCAGUGCCCACGAGAAGCAAGCGCCCACGAGGUCUCCUUGCUCGUCACGACACCCCAAACAGAGUUCUCAGGUCCCAGAGGGAGGGCAGAGGAUGAGACGCACAUGCGUGACUGGCUCAGAUGGUUUUCUCUGAAAGUGUCCUGAAUGACUCUUCUAUGUCUACCAGGCACCUCGUGACCUUGUGCUUGAAAACGACGUCCCCGAGCGAGCAUGGGUCCCUUCUCAACCUUGGGGACGGGGCAUCGCUGCCUGCUAGCUUGAGCCUCCCCAUGGAAUCCUUGGAACAAGGCUGCUCCUCUGCGACGCCCCCACGUGGACAGUGUGGCCUCGGGCUCUGGUUCCCGGCAGAGGUGAUUUCUUGGUGCUGCCGUUUGUCUCCGCCUUGGCAGUACGAGCCACCUUCCUCUAACAGCAUGUUUCUGCUCAGAGCCCUGCAGAGCGGUCUUAGUCUCUGUCCCUGGCUCCCAGAGAGAUGACUCACGACACACAUGGAGCUAUUGAAAUUUUUAAAAUUACAGCAUACUUCUGAAUUUUAAUGAAUUGAAAUGCGAACAUUUAAGAUGAGGGCACACAGUAAUUUCUCCGUUUCAGCUAGCUUCCGGAAGCAGACGGGCGAGGCUGAUGACCCGAGGCGGGCCUUUGUGAAACUCUGCAUCUGCCGGGCUUAGCAUUGAGGUGAACUGUCGCCUUCAGAAUGAAAGCCGAGCACGUGAACGCGAGACCACGUGCCACCAAAAUGGGAGAGACCCACCUGCAGGAGCCCCCAGAAACAGAGCCCCCGAGAGGAUUCUGGGUGACCCUGUGCUCUCAGGAGUGCCGGAGAUUGCACUUCCUCUGCACAGUUUGUUAAAGCCUGAGUUGCAAAGGGAAAGAUGGAGACGGGAGACUCCGAGCAUGCAUGGUACUUGAGCACAUCUUGCCUCAGUUCCCGGGAGGCAGGGGAACUUGCUGCCUUCCCGUCCAGGGUCCUCAGACAGAAGGGGCACAGCUGUCUGGGCGUCCCACAGAUGGCUCUGCAGUUUCCCAAGGCCUGGCCUGGCCCACCAGCUCCCCCUCCCCCCAGCCCCAAAGCUCAUCCAGCGUCCUGGUCACCAGGGCAGGAGCCCUCACUUGUUCGCUGUGAGUUAAACAUUAAACUCCAUGCACCCGGAAGGCAGGGCGGGGCAGCUGGGGGCUGCUCUGCCCGCGUUCCUGGGAGGGCGGCCCACUCCGGGCACUUAGCAAACACUUGCUACAAGACUAAACACUACUGUACGCCACGGAAGCCGUCUACGCCCUUCCACGUGCUUCUCGAUGCCUCAAACGAGGAAAGCCCCCGAGAAACGCAGGCCAGUGCAUGCCAGGAGGGGACACGGAGCCCGGCGGAAGCUCGGGAGGAGCAGCAGCAAGGGCCCGAGGCUGGCUGGGGGCCCGGCCGCCUACCAUGAUCCCUGUGAGCAGACACACGCCUUUCCCGCAGUACGUGUUGGGCACCAUGUCGCCGUAGCCGAUGGACAGGAACGUGAUGGAGAUCAGCCACAUGGCUCCCAGGAAGUUGCUCGUGACGUCCUGUUGGUCGUGGUACCUGGAAAAGAGCAGAGAAAGCCACUCCUUUACCAUGGGAUUCGCUUUCCCCGGCUCCCGGGUUCCUGGCAGGUGUUGGAUCCGCAGGUGUCGGAUCCGCCCCAGGGCAGAGAAGCCUCAGGAGGCGCCCAGACGCUCACAGCAACCGGAAGGCAGCUGCAAGGUACGAAAGUGCUCCUGUCACUGGCCUGAGGGGCAACACGCGGCCCUCUGUGCCCACGCGCCUGGCUCCCCGGGGACCUCGCACAGGCACCACCUCUGCAGCUUGGGCGGGAGCAUGGACCCUGAGCUGGGUCUGCCCCUGGCAUCGGGCCCCACUGCUCCUUGGCCUUCAGCAAACACCAGCUGGGAGCCUCUUCUGCCCGCCCUCCCCCCGGGAGCCCCCGCACCCACUGCCCGUCCUUGGCCCCUCUGCGCAGCAUCCUGCCAGAGGACAGAAACUGGCCAUGGAGGCCCUGCCGGGCCGGGAGCUGCUGUCCUCCCUGUCAUGCACAAGGAACUCGUGGGUGCGGGUGGUCCCUGCUGUUCCGUGAGGUGUCUGAGAAGGUUUUAGAUCAGAAACAGAUGUCCUGUCUCAGUUUCACUAAGCCACGACCUCACGCCCCAGACAGCAGCAAGGCCAGGAACCGCUGCUCCCGGUGCACGUCCUGGGUGCGCACGGCCACGGCCACCUCUGGUCUCUGCGGCAAAGCAGGCCCAGCCCCCACUACUCUACAGAGGAGUCCUCGCCACCCCAUCUCGGGUGCCACGAGGCUGGACCGCCCUUGCUCGCCCUUUCCCACCCCCUCCAAGAUCUGAAAGAGCUACAGAGAAAGGGAGAGAUCCAUCUUCCAUCUGUGGGUUCACUCCCCACGUGGCCCGGGGGCUGGCGCUGGGCCAGGCUGAAGCCAUCCAUCCUGGUCUCAGGACUUGGGCUGUCACCUGCUGGCUGGGAGUGGAGCAGCCGGGACUUGAACCGGCGUCCACGGGGGAUCUGGCACUGCGGGCGGCAGCUUCACCCGCAGCACCUGGUGCCUCACAGCAAGGAGUCCUGGAGCGUGCGCUGGAACCCAUGCCUGGCACCCGAGCACUGGUUCCUCACCAGACAGAUGCAUAACCCGGGCUCAGAAGCCUCAGCAACAGCAACGCCAACAAAUUCUGAUCGGUAGCUGUGGGGCGAUGCAAACCCAGAGGUGUCGCCUCAACCCAGUUACCAUGGCUGAUAGCAAAAAGGGACGAAGUAGCGAAUGCUGGAGAAGCUGUAGAGAGGGGACCCCCACACUGCAGGUAGCUCCCCAACGAGUACGGUCAUCGGGGGAGCAGCACGGAGACCCCUCGCAGACCUCAAUGUGGGGCCCAGGGUCCCCGGAAAGAAAGGCAGCACAGCAGCGACACCUGCACUCCAUGUCCCGACAGCCGGGAGCCCCUUGAUGACAUGUGGCUAAGGAAAGCGAGGCACAUGUACACCAUGCCACACCGUGCAGCCACAAAACGGACGUAUCUCACCGCAGUGGACGCAGGGCCCUGGAGGACUGGGUUCUCACACGUGAAAGUGUAAAACCGGGCAGUGGUGGGGCCAGCGCUGUGGUGCAGCAGGUUAAUCCUCUGCUUGCACCAAUUCUAGUCUUGGCUGCUCCUCUUCCCAUCCAGCUCUCUGCUACGGCCUUAGAAAGCAGUUGAAGUUGGCCCAAAUCCUUGGGCCCCUGUACCCACGUGGAAGACCUGGAGGAAACUCCUGGCUUUGGAUCAGCUCAACUCCAGCCACUACAGCCAUCUGGGGAAUGAACCAGCAGAUGGAAGACCUUUCUCUGUCUCUCCCUCUACCUCUCAAAUAAAUAGAUACAAACUGGGCAUUGUAUCUGAAGGCAGA
Non-coding RNA from Oryctolagus cuniculus (rabbit), 6928 nucleotides. The record is from RefSeq and is a predicted model, not a curated record. NCBI's taxonomy places the organism in Eukaryota, Metazoa, Chordata, Mammalia, Lagomorpha, Leporidae.